This 426-nucleotide ribosomal RNA is filed under the name uncultured Clostridium sp. Its description in RNAcentral is "bacterial SSU rRNA". It matches the Rfam family "Bacterial small subunit ribosomal RNA", at positions 355 to 794 of the family's 1533-position model. Lineage: Bacteria; Bacillati; Bacillota; Clostridia; Eubacteriales; Clostridiaceae. The record is from RNAcentral.
GGGGGAAUAUUGGGCAAUGGGCGAAAGCCUGACCCAGCGACGCCGCGUGAGGGAAGAAGGUCUUCGGAUUGUAAACCUUAGUCAACAGGGAAGAAGAAAGUGACGGUACCUGUGGAGGAAGCCACGGCUAACUACGUGCCAGCAGCCGCGGUAAUACGUAGGUGGCGAGCGUUGUCCGGAAUUACUGGGUGUAAAGGGCGUGUAGGCGGAGAUGCAAGUUGGGAGUGAAAUCCAUGGGCUUAACCCAUGAACUGCUCUCAAAAACUGUAUCCCUUGAGUAUCGGAGAGGCAAGCGGAAUUCCUAGUGUAGCGGUGAAAUGCGUAGAUAUUAGGAGGAACACCAGUGGCGAAGGCGGCUUGCUGGACGACAACUGACGCUGAGGCGCGAAAGCGUGGGGAGCAAACAGGAUUAGAUACCCUGGUAGU